UACGGAGGGUGCAAGCGUUAUCCGGAUUCACUGGGUUUAAAGGGUGCGUAGGUGGGCUGGUAAGUCAGUGGUGAAAUCUCCGGGCUUAACCCGGAAACUGCCAUUGAUACUACUGGUCUUGAAUGUCGUGGAGGUGAGCGGAAUAUGUCAUGUAGCGGUGAAAUGCUUAGAUAUGACAUAGAACACCAAUUGCGAAGGCAGCUCACUACACGGAUAUUGACACUGAGGCACGAAAGCGUGGGGAUCAAACAGG
This 253-nucleotide ribosomal RNA is filed under the name uncultured bacterium. RNAcentral describes it as "partial 16S ribosomal RNA". It matches the Rfam family "Bacterial small subunit ribosomal RNA", at positions 524 to 776 of the family's 1533-position model. The record is from RNAcentral.